Molecule: ribosomal RNA, 433 nt
Filed under: uncultured bacterium
Lineage: Bacteria
Description: partial 16S ribosomal RNA
Rfam family: Bacterial small subunit ribosomal RNA
Source: RNAcentral
AACGAACGCUGGCGGCAUGCCUAACACAUGCAAGUCGAACGAGACCUUCGGGUCUAGUGGCGCACGGGUGCGUAACGCGUGGGAACCUGCCCUUAGGUUCGGAAUAACUCCCCGACAGGGGUGCUAAUACCGGAUAAUGUCUUCGGACCAAAGAUUUAUCGCCUUUGGAUGGGCCCGCGUUGGAUUAGCUAGUUGGUAGGGUAAAAGCCUACCACGGCGACGAUCCAUAGCUGGUCUGAGAGGAUGAUCAGCCACACUGGGACUGAGACACGGCCCAGACUCCUACGGGAGGCAGCAGUGGGGAAUAUUGGACAAUGGGCGAAAGCCUGAUGCAGCAAUGCCGCGUGAGUGAUGAAGGCCUUAGGGUUGAAAAGCUCUUUUACCCGGGAUGAUAAUGACAGUACCGGGAGAAUAAGCUCCGGCUAACUCCGUG